GUUUCUUAGCCAUGGAUCAUGAGUAUGUUGUAUUGUUGUGGAAGCACAAUUUUAAACUGAGAUGUGGCAUGAAGCCCAGCACCUUGAUCUUGGACUUCGCAGCCUUCAGAACCGUGAGGAAGAAAUUUCUGUUUUUUAUGAAGUCACUCAGUCUGUUGUAUUCUAAACUCGAAGCACAAAAUAGACGUAAGUUCCAAACCAUUUUUGUACCCCAAAGGGAAACCAUACCCACUGAGAAGUUACUUCUUGGUCC
Molecule: long non-coding RNA, 253 nt
Filed under: Chinchilla lanigera (long-tailed chinchilla)
Lineage: Eukaryota; Metazoa; Chordata; Mammalia; Rodentia; Chinchillidae
Description: lncRNA (ENSCLAG00000024929.1)
Source: RNAcentral